UAUAUUUGAGUAUAGGAAGUACAUAAAUUUUUGAUAUUUAAGGAGGUGGUUUGAUCCCACUAAAUAUAG
This 69-nucleotide transfer RNA is filed under the name Tenebrionoidea sp. 10 KM-2017. Its description in RNAcentral is "tRNA-Gln". It matches the Rfam family "tRNA". From Rfam's summary of the family: Transfer RNA (tRNA) molecules are approximately 80 nucleotides in length. Their secondary structure includes four short double-helical elements and three loops (D, anti-codon, and T loops). Lineage: Eukaryota; Metazoa; Arthropoda; Insecta; Coleoptera. The record is from RNAcentral.